Molecule: ribosomal RNA, 468 nt
Filed under: uncultured bacterium
Lineage: Bacteria
Description: partial 16S ribosomal RNA
Rfam family: Bacterial small subunit ribosomal RNA
Source: RNAcentral
GACGAACGCUGGCGGCGUGCUUAACACAUGCAAGUCGAACGGAAAGGCCCUGCUUUUGUGGGGUGCUCGAGUGGCGAACGGGUGAGUAACACGUGAGUAACCUGCCCUUGACUUUGGGAUAACUUCAGGAAACUGGGGCUAAUACCGGAUAGGAGCUCCUGCUGCAUGGUGGGGGUUGGAAAGUUUCGGCGGUUGGGGAUGGACUCGCGGCUUAUCAGCUUGUUGGUGGGGUAGUGGCUUACCAAGGCUUUGACGGGUAGCCGGCCUGAGAGGGUGACCGGCCACAUUGGGACUGAGAUACGGCCCAGACUCCUACGGGAGGCAGCAGUGGGGAAUAUUGCCCAAUGGGCAGAAGCCUGAUGCAGCAACGCCGCGUGCGGGAUGACGGCCUUCGGGUUGUAAACCGCUUUCGCCUGUGACGAAGCGUGAGUGACGGUAAUGGGUAAAGAAGCACCGGCUAACUACGUG